Molecule: transfer RNA, 75 nt
Filed under: Medicago truncatula (barrel medic)
Lineage: Eukaryota; Viridiplantae; Streptophyta; Magnoliopsida; Fabales; Fabaceae
Description: tRNA gene11546
Rfam family: tRNA
About the family: Transfer RNA (tRNA) molecules are approximately 80 nucleotides in length. Their secondary structure includes four short double-helical elements and three loops (D, anti-codon, and T loops). Further hydrogen bonds mediate the characteristic L-shaped molecular structure. tRNAs have two regions of fundamental functional importance: the anti-codon, which is responsible for specific mRNA codon recognition, and the 3' end, to which the tRNAs corresponding amino acid is attached (by aminoacyl-tRNA synthetases). tRNAs cope with the degeneracy of the genetic code in two manners: having more than one tRNA (with a specific anti-codon) for a particular amino acid; and 'wobble' base-pairing, i.e. permitting non-standard base-pairing at the 3rd anti-codon position.
Source: RNAcentral
AGUUGAUGUGGUGUAGUGGUUAUCACGUUAGUUUUACACACUAAAGGUCUCUAGUUCGAUCUUGGGCAGCAACAA